Molecule: ribosomal RNA, 1496 nt
Filed under: Pantoea agglomerans
Lineage: Bacteria; Pseudomonadati; Pseudomonadota; Gammaproteobacteria; Enterobacterales; Erwiniaceae
Description: bacterial SSU rRNA
Rfam family: Bacterial small subunit ribosomal RNA
Source: RNAcentral
AUUGAACGCUGGCGGCAGGCCUAACACAUGCAAGUCGGACGGUAGCACAGAGGAGCUUGCUCUUGGGUGACGAGUGGCGGACGGGUGAGUAAUGUCUGGGGAUCUGCCCGAUAGAGGGGGAUAACCACUGGAAACGGUGGCUAAUACCGCAUAACGUCGCAAGACAAAGAGGGGGACCUUCGGGCCUCUCACUAUCGGAUGAACCCAGAUGGGAUUAGCUAGUAGGCGGGGUAAUGGCCCACCUAGGCGACGAUCCCUAGCUGGUCUGAGAGGAUGACCAGCCACACUGGAACUGAGACACGGUCCAGACUCCUACGGGAGGCAGCAGUGGGGAAUAUUGCACAAUGGGCGCAACUGGAUGCAGCCAUGCCGCGUGUAUGAAGAAGGCCUUCGGGUUGUAAAGUACUUUCAGCGGGGAGGAAGGCGACGGGGUUAAUAACCCUGUCGAUUGACGUUACCCGCAGAAGAAGCACCGGCUAACUCCGUGCCAGCAGCCGCGGUAAUACGGAGGGUGCAAGCGUUAAUCGGAAUUACUGGGCGUAAAGCGCACGCAGGCGGUCUGUUAAGUCAGAUGUGAAAUCCCCGGGCUUAACCUGGGAACUGCAUUUGAAACUGGCAGGCUUGAGUCUUGUAGAGGGGGGUAGAAUUCCAGGUGUAGCGGUGAAAUGCGUAGAGAUCUGGAGGAAUACCGGUGGCGAAGGCGGCCCCCUGGACAAAGACUGACGCUCAGGUGCGAAAGCGUGGGGGAGCAAACAGGAUUAGAUACCCUGGUAGUCCACGCCGUAAACGAUGUCGACUUGGAGGUUGUUCCCUUGAGGAGUGGCUUCCGGAGCUAACGCGUUAAGUCGACCGCCUUGGGGAGUACGGCCGCAAGGUUAAAACUCAAAUKAAUUUACGGGGGCCCGCACAAACGGUGGAGCAUGUKGKUUAAUUCGAUGCAACGCGAAGAACCUUACCUACUCUUGACAUCCACGGAAUUUGGCAGAGAUGCCUUAGUGCCUUCGGGAACCGUGAGACAGGUGCUGCAUGGCUGUCGUCAGCUCGUGUUGUGAAAUGUUGGGUUAAGUCCCGCAACGAGCGCAACCCUUAUCCUUUGUUGCCAGCGAUUCGGUCGGGAACUCAAAGGAGACUGCCGGUGAUAAACCGGAGGAAGGUGGGGAUGACGUCAAGUCAUCAUGGCCCUUACGAGUAGGGCUACACACGUGCUACAAUGGCGCAUACAAAGAGAAGCGACCUCGCGAGAGCAAGCGGACCUCACAAAGUGCGUCGUAGUCCGGAUCGGAGUCUGCAACUCGACUCCGUGAAGUCGGAAUCGCUAGUAAUCGUGGAUCAGAAUGCCACGGUGAAUACGUUCCCGGGCCUUGUACACACCGCCCGUCACACCAUGGGAGUGGGUUGCAAAAGAAGUAGGUAGCUUAACCUUCGGGAGGGCGCUUACCACUUUGUGAUUCAUGACUGGGGUGAAGUCGUAACAAGGUAACCGUAGGGGAACCUGC